This 301-nucleotide ribosomal RNA is filed under the name uncultured bacterium. Its description in RNAcentral is "partial 16S ribosomal RNA". It matches the Rfam family "Bacterial small subunit ribosomal RNA", at positions 509 to 808 of the family's 1533-position model. The record is from RNAcentral.
CAGUAGCCACGGGAAAACGAAGGGGGCUAGCGUUGCUCGGAAUGACUGGGCGUAAAGGGCGCGUAGGCGGCGGCCAAAGUCAGGCGUGAAAUUCCUGGGCUUAACCUUGGGGCUGCGCUUGAUACUUGGUUGCUUGAGUGGGGAAGAGGGUCGUGGAAUUCCCAGUGUAGAGGUGAAAUUCGUAGAUAUUGGGAAGAACACCGGUGGCGAAGGCGGCGACCUGGUCCUUGACUGACGCUGAGGCGCGAAAGCGUGGGGAGCAAACAGGAUUAGAGACCCCCGUAGUCCCGUCUCUUAUACA